Molecule: small RNA, 139 nt
Filed under: Flavobacterium branchiophilum
Lineage: Bacteria; Pseudomonadati; Bacteroidota; Flavobacteriia; Flavobacteriales; Flavobacteriaceae
Description: Flavo-1 RNA
Rfam family: Flavo-1 RNA
Source: RNAcentral
UUGCAUUAGGGAUUGCAGCGGCAUCCUCUUUUUUUUAGGGUUUAAAGUGGUUCAAUUCGCUUUUGGUUUUAGUAACUAAAUACUUGAACUGAAACACACAACCCUAAAAAAAGAGAUAUAGCGGAAAGCCCGACCUGAA